This 468-nucleotide ribosomal RNA is filed under the name uncultured bacterium. RNAcentral describes it as "partial 16S ribosomal RNA". It matches the Rfam family "Bacterial small subunit ribosomal RNA", at positions 28 to 507 of the family's 1533-position model. The record is from RNAcentral.
GACGAACGCUGGCGGCGUGCUUAACACAUGCAAGUCGAACGGAAAGGCCCUGCUUUUGUGGGGUGCUCGAGUGGCGAACGGGUGAGUAACACGUGAGUAACCUGCCCUUGACUUUGGGAUAACUUCAGGAAACUGGGGCUAAUACCGGAUAGGAGCUCCUGCUGCAUGGUGGGGGUUGGACAGCUUCGGCGGUUGGGGCUGGACUGGCGGCUUAUCAGCUUGUUGGUGGGGUAGUGGCUUACCAAGGCUUUGACGGGUAGCCGGCCUGAGAGGGUGACCGGCCACAUUGGGACUGAGAUACGGCCCAGACUCCUACGGGAGGCAGCAGUGGGGAAUAUUGCACAAUGGGCGGAAGCCUGAUGCAGCAACGCCGCGUGCGGGAUGACGGCCUUCGGGUUGUAAACCGCUUUCGCCUGUGACGAAGCGUGAGUGACGGUAAUGGGUAAAGAAGCACCGGCUAACUACGUG